Long non-coding RNA from Zingiber officinale, 1663 nucleotides. RefSeq lists it as uncharacterized. The transcript is spliced from 2 exons. The record is from RefSeq and is a predicted model, not a curated record. Lineage: Eukaryota; Viridiplantae; Streptophyta; Magnoliopsida; Zingiberales; Zingiberaceae.
AAGCCUUUUCCUCUCUUUUUCCUCUCCCGACGGCGCGAUUCUUCUCUUGGGCGAAAACCGUAGCCAAGGCUAGGGUUCCUCCUCCCGACGCCGACGAGGUGUUUUCCGGCCGGUCUCCAACCGUGGGUGACCUUUCCGGCAAGGAAAGCUCGGGAAACACAAGGAAAAGGGAGAAACAGAAGCUCUACCGAAAACCUAGAGCGCUCCUCGGGUUGUAAGUCCAAGAACACCGUUAUACAGAUAAAAAUAAAGGAAAGGCUAAAGUGGUGUAGAAGAAGGCGACAAGGAGACGUUGAUGGUGUGUGUGGUGGCUGUUAUGGAAGCUUGGGACCUUGCUAAGAAAUUGCUGCAAGUUAAUUUAAUUAGUUUUCUUCUUAAAUAACUAGGAGAAUUUAGAGAAAUACAGAUUCUUUUUGCUCUUUCUGUUUUGCUGUUUUGAAGUUGUUCAAAUGCUUUUGUUCUGUUGAAUUUCUGGAAUCAUUCGGAUGUUAAAUGCUUAUGUUCAUUACUUCUUUAUACUCUGCUAGAAUGUUAAAUUUCUGGAAGGUUAAAUCUGCUGGGAAGUUUGGAUUUGAUUGCACAGUAGUCUCUCAUGUAUGUUGGUAUUCAUGUGCUAAAGCUGGAGUUUUAUUUCUGCCAUGGGAAUCAUAUCCGCAGGAAUUCUUUUGUCUAUAAAAAAAAAAAUGUGCACUGUUUCGGUUUGUUAGAAAAGCAUGAGCAGUAAGAGUUUUGGUGUAUGAAAGAAAAGCAUGUGUAUGAAAGAAAAGCAUGUGGUUCGGCUUGUUAGGAAAUGAAUAAGUAGUAUUCUAUUUCACUUCCUCUUAAUUACUGUUUGGUUGUAGAAUGAAUAACUACAUUUUGUAACAAGGAAUGUUAGGUAGGAUUUCAUGAAUGCAAGUUAAUAAAGGAAGUUGCAAACAGUAGAGAUAUUUAAGUUCAUUGUCUAUAUGUUACACUUGCUUGUUGUUAUACUUAUUUGCAUGUUUAAAUAAGUAAGGAAAAAAAAUAAACAAAAAAAAAUAAUAAUACUAUCAGAACAGUUUAAAGCAUUUUUGAUAUGUGAUAUGUUUUUAACAAAUAGUUGAAAGCAUUUCUAGUGUUAAGUAGGUAGUACCAGUUAUGUGUAGUUAGUAGAAUCAGUAGCGGUCACCCUCAGAGUAGUAGUAAGGAGGGUGGUCGUUACAAUUUUGAUUUCUUUGCUAGCUUGAUUUCUUUGCUAGUAUUUGCAAGCAUGAUUUCAAUUCCCUUAUUAUUAGAUGAUCAUGAGUAGCAACUUUUCUUCUAAAGCGUUCAGUUUCUAGAUUUCUUCUUGUACACAUGCAUAUCUGAGUUUUGUGAAUUAUAUAGCGUUUACUAAGCAUCUGCUUAUAGUUGCAUUUCCUCUUACUGCAGAUAAAGGAAAAGUAAAGCUAUAGUGAAGGAAGGCGACAAGGAGGUGUGAGAUGGGUGUGUGAUGUCUGGACUAUGGAAGCCUUGGGAUCUUGCUAAAAACAAAAAAAUUAUUAAGAUUUUGUAUUUAGACUGUUUGUGAAAUUUAGGUGGAUUAAGUCCUUCUUGCAUUGUUGGAAUUAUUCUUUCGUGUUGUUGGUUGGUUUAUAGAAUGAUUUUAUGUUUUUAGAAUUCUUCCAUUUAAAUUGCUAUGCACAUUAGCCACAUUAUUUGA